UCCCUCCGGAAGCUGCAAGUUUCCUCGAAGAGGAUGACCUUCCCCCAUAGAAGGGGUCCCCCUUUGGUCAAGGGUAUCGGAGCAGCUGCGCUCCCCUACUUCAAACCAAGCCAAACGCACUGCCAUCGAGGCGAUUCGGACUCCUAGCGACCCUGCUGCAGGACAGGGCAGAGAGGC
This 177-nucleotide small RNA is filed under the name Echinops telfairi (small Madagascar hedgehog). RNAcentral's name for it is "7SK RNA (ENSETEG00000025324.1)". It matches the Rfam family "7SK RNA", at positions 116 to 273 of the family's 331-position model. From Rfam's summary of the family: 7SK was discovered as an abundant small nuclear RNA in the mid-70s but a possible function has only recently been suggested. Two independent studies have found that 7SK RNA binds the CDK9/cyclin T complex (known as elongation factor P-TEFb). The record is from RNAcentral. Lineage: Eukaryota; Metazoa; Chordata; Mammalia; Afrosoricida; Tenrecidae.